This 248-nucleotide non-coding RNA is filed under the name Lacticaseibacillus thailandensis. Its description in RNAcentral is "Lactobacillus thailandensis T-box sequence". It matches the Rfam family "T-box leader". Rfam says of the family: Uncharged tRNA acts as the effector for transcription antitermination of genes in the T-box leader family. T-boxes are found upstream of many aminoacyl-tRNA synthetase genes and some amino acid biosynthetic genes usually in Gram-positive bacteria. The record is from RNAcentral. Lineage: Bacteria; Bacillati; Bacillota; Bacilli; Lactobacillales; Lactobacillaceae.
AUAUUGAUGUUGAAGUAGAUGAGUAAGUGCCAUUGUCGUGCACAGAGAGCCGGGGUAGCUGCGAGCCGGUCACGUCAAGGUACCGAAGAUGGUCUACCGUAACAAUGUUGGGUGAGCUAUGGCCAGCCCGACCCGGGAACGCCCGUUAUCGCGUCACGGUCUGCGGCUUUGCGCCGCGUACCGGAUGAGUGGUUAGUAGUGAUACUAAUCAGAAAACGGGUGGUAACACGAUUAAAGUCGUCCCGGGA